This is a long non-coding RNA of Mizuhopecten yessoensis (Yesso scallop), 435 nucleotides long. RefSeq lists it as uncharacterized. Lineage: Eukaryota; Metazoa; Mollusca; Bivalvia; Pectinida; Pectinidae. The transcript has 3 exons. The record is from RefSeq and is a predicted model, not a curated record.
CCGGUUAAUUUUGACCAAUCAACAAAGCGAUCGUAACUGACAGUUCUGUGAAUGGAGUGACAAAGAAGUUGGCGGGAGCUGCUUCCAAGUUUGGUGUGUCUUUGUUUGCACGUGCUCUGACAAUGAAAACAAAGUCACGAUGCAAAAAAAUGGAUUUUUACGCAAAGCAGACACUUCAGACACAGAAGGAAUAAAGUGAAAAUGAAUGUGGUCAGGAGAAAUCGGUUAGGUGUGAAGCUGAAAUAUAUUAGGUGCAAUGAUGUACAAAAUGAGAGUAGAGGGUAGGAAAGAUUAAACCUUGACAACAAUGUGUGAAGAAUCUGAGAAAAAUACCUCAUUCAUAAACAUUGAGUUUUAUACCUGUUCACCUGGCAAGACACUUCCCAUAUAAAUGUGAGGAGUUGCACCUCUGUGACAGGGCCGAGAAGAUUUCUA